Pelobates cultripes (western spadefoot toad) is the source of this 203-nucleotide non-coding RNA. The record is from the annotation of a GenBank genome assembly. NCBI's taxonomy places the organism in Eukaryota, Metazoa, Chordata, Amphibia, Anura, Pelobatidae.
AGCUCUCCUGUUGUCUGUGGGAACGAUCCCGCCGCUUGCCACCAAUUGUAACGGCACCCCCAGGCAUAAAAGGGUUAAACCGCCAUUUAGUAGAUCUUCCCCUUCCAGAGAUGCAGGCACAGCUACUGCAGAACACCAAUCCGCUGAACAGGAAACCAUAUGAAUGCUGUAAGCAGUCGAAUAGGAAAAACCAUACGAAUAGG